Long non-coding RNA from Pomacea canaliculata, 1248 nucleotides. RefSeq lists it as uncharacterized. The transcript has 2 exons. NCBI's taxonomy places the organism in Eukaryota, Metazoa, Mollusca, Gastropoda, Architaenioglossa, Ampullariidae. The record is from RefSeq and is a predicted model, not a curated record.
UGACAGACAGUACCAAAAGUGUUAAAAACUUUAGUGAAGUAGGCACAAGUAAUCGCGCAAAGUCACAAACUUCGAGCAAGAUGACAAAGCAAAGAGCAAGAUGCAGAGGCUGUUGGUGGAUGAUGUCUAUGGGAAGAAAUGAUGUGGAACAGGCAUUGAAUAACAAGAACAGAGGAAACAGCGCAAAAAAGUCACAGGUUCAGACCACAGCCUGCAAAGCCUUGGACUGAUAAAGCAACUGUUUGAACCAAAGAAUGUUCUUUGGCUAUGAAGACAAUUUAUUGUAAAUGAUUUUUGCAACAAACAUGAAGUUCAAUUUUUUUUUCUAUUUCGUUAUAGUUCUUUUGCUUUUUGGAGACUGUAAAGCCUACCUUUGGGAGUUGUUUUAUACUGAAAUAAACAUGGCUUUUCUUAAUUACUGUUUUGUCCUGGUUAAGACACCAGAAUGCAAUUGCUGGUUAAGAUAUCACUUCCUCUUGCUCUCUUUUUCUAAGUCACAUGGUGUGAAUCAGUCAGGCACAGACAACCUGGACCAUAUGUCAGCCCUAAUGACCUGCAGUAUUCUUUUACACCUCUUCAUCCUCCAGAAAAACACCGACUGCUUAAAGGUCUUGGUUCAAAGAGCAAGACUUUUUUCUGAAAUCUGUCCAAGAUCGCAAACAUCACCCUCUCAUCCCUCCUCGUGAUUUAAAAACACUAUCACCCACAGAAAUUAAAACCAUGACGUCAAGAAUGUACAUGGAUACACUUUAUUGUCACGACUACGGUUAGUAGGGCAAUUAGAAUGUAUGUUAAUGAGGCAUAUCCAUGAACAAUCAUGACAUCAUAGAUGGACCGUUUUGUAGACACGCCACCAUAAACACCAACAUGAGCCACCACACCUGUAACUUUUUGCAUAUACACAAGACACAAGUGUAAACAUUGUCUGUGAGCUGUAUAUUUUAAAAGUGCUACAAAAUAAAAAAGCAGUUUCAAAUAAAACUCACUUAAGUUUCCGAUAGUUCAAAUGACAGUUUCCUCUGAGCAAAAAAGCUCCCAAGGCUAAUCUCUAACAUUCACAAGCAGAACUUUGCUAUUAAUAAUAGUUGUCAUCAUUUGGCAUAACCACCAAAUUUGAAGGUUCGGGUCUUCUCCAGUGGAAAACUUCCAAUAACUGAUUAGAGCAGUAGUUUAGUAAUCAGCAUUACAGGCAGACUGAGCUUUUUUAUUUUAGAAAACACAACAAAAAAUUUACAAGGAAAAAAAAAA